Molecule: long non-coding RNA, 1492 nt
Organism: Phasianus colchicus (ring-necked pheasant)
Lineage: Eukaryota; Metazoa; Chordata; Aves; Galliformes; Phasianidae
Source: RefSeq, a predicted model, not a curated record
AGCCGGCUGCUGUGGCGGCGCGCGCUGCUGUUCCUGAAGGAGAGCUGCCUCAUUGCGGGCUCCAGCCCUGUCCGCGCGAGUGCUCCGCUGUACUCGAGCGGGUUUAUGAGCGUUUGUUGUGUCGAGGGCACCCGUAAUGGGGUGCCGUCUGCAGGUUUUCAAAAUGUACCCGCUAAAACCAAAGAAGAUUUUUUGUCGAUAGCUUCCCAGCAUUGUUGAGAUCCUGCCUCUGAGCUGUGAGCUUCCUGCCACCGGGAUUAAUGCCAGCUGAGAAUGAAGCCUGGAAGACUGCUUGUGAAGGCCCCCUGCACUCAGUAUAUUUCAGUGUGAUGUUAAGUAUCCAGGGUGGAGGCAGCAUGCUAAACUAUGUCAGUUCUGAGCAGCACUGCAACCCAUAGGAUGGUUUUGGAGUUCGGCAGGCUCCCAAGGAUUUACUGAUAUCAGUUCUACUCAUUUUGCUGAUGUACACAAGUUCCUGUAUGACACAUUCAAGAGGUACUUAGAAAUGAACAAGGGGCGGAAAGGGGAGGGGUAUUGCCUUUGUACAUUUGAAGAGAAAUGAAAGUCAGCAAUGAAAAUCUGUCCUGACAUAUGCUUUCCUGCAGAAAAAAUAGUUGCUUAAUAGAUCACAUGUUCUUUGGAGAUACUCUUCUAACUUCUAUUAAUUUAUGUGCUCAAAGCACAUAUUAUUUAUCCCAUACAAAUGGGAAUACCAAGGUACUAAGCAUUGUCAAACUGAAGUGAAUAAAUUCUCUGGCAAGACUCAACAGCAUGGGCUACCUGCUCUGCAAGAAAGAAGCCAGGAGUUUAGCAUGAGAGUAAUGCAGGCAGAAGGUGUGACCUUGAGAAGUUAGAGACCAGUGAUCAUCAGCAGGGAUGAGCCAAAUGUGAGGCUGAGCCAAGAAGCCCAGGCAGUGCCCAAGUCACAGAGAUGUGAGCCUGGAUGCAGAUGUGCAACUGUGUUAGCACAGAGGCAAGGGCUGGCAGCAAAGCCUCAGUUUAAAAUCAAUUACCAAGGGCUUUCUUUACAGGAGCUCUUAUCAGUUAAAGAACUGACCUUGGAUUCAGCCAGCUAAACUAGUCGGUUCCCCUCCUCCCCCCCCAAGUAACAGUCUUAGAUGGUGAAUGCAACUCUGGGCUCAGACAAUUAGAUUUUCUAUAUCUAAAUCAAGUAUUUGAACCAUGAAACUGUUUCAUGCACUUUGCCGCAAGCCCCAAAUAUAGAUAAUCAAAAUAGAAUCAGAUUAACACACUUAACAUUUUGCUUACUGCCUUCUGCCUGAACUGCAAAAUACUGAAAAUAGUUUCAGUUUUCUUUUCUUUGAAGUGUACUCAAGAUCCAGUUCAGAGCUGAUUGAAACCAGUGGAAACGAUGAAUUUCCAUCAGACUCCUGAAUUUUGGAUGAAUACUGUAGGCAAGAUGAUAUUCAAAGUUCAGAAGAGUAUUUUUUUAAGAAUGAAAGAUAUUCUGUCUUCUUUAUUCCUGCUUUUG